GACGAACGCUGGCGGCGUGCUUAACACAUGCAAGUCGAACGAUGAACCCGGAGCUUGCUCCGGCGGAUUAGUGGCGAACGGGUGAGUAACACGUGAGUAACCUGCCCUUGACUCUGGGAUAACUGCUAGAAAUGGUAGCUAAUACCGGAUACGACCCUCGGCGGCAUCGCCAGGGGGUGGAAAGAAUGUCGGUCAAGGAUGGACUCGCGGCCUAUCAGCUAGUUGGUGAGGUAAUGGCUCACCAAGGCGACGACGGGUAGCCGGCCUGAGAGGGUGACCGGCCACACUGGGACUGAGACACGGCCCAGACUCCUACGGGAGGCAGCAGUGGGGAAUAUUGCACAAUGGGCGCAAGCCUGAUGCAGCAACGCCGCGUGAGGGAUGACGGCCUUCGGGUUGUAAACCUCUUUUAGUAGGGAAGAAGCGAAAGUGACGGUACCUGCAGAAAAAGCACCGGCUAACUACGUGCCAGCAGCCGCGGUAAUACGUAGGGUGCAAGCGUUGUCCGGAAUUAUUGGGCGUAAAGAGCUCGUAGGCGGUUUGUCGCGUCUGCUGUGAAAUCCCGAGGCUCAACCUCGGGCCUGCAGUGGGUACGGGCAAACUAGAGUGUGGUAGGGGAGAUUGGAACUCCUGGUGUAGCGGUGGAAUGCGCAGAUAUCAGGAAGAACACCGAUGGCGAAGGCAGAUCUCUGGGCCAUUACUGACGCUGAGGAGCGAAAG
RNAcentral lists this ribosomal RNA (720 nucleotides) under uncultured Frigoribacterium sp. RNAcentral's name for it is "bacterial SSU rRNA". It matches the Rfam family "Bacterial small subunit ribosomal RNA", at positions 28 to 759 of the family's 1533-position model. Lineage: Bacteria; Bacillati; Actinomycetota; Actinomycetes; Micrococcales; Microbacteriaceae. The record is from RNAcentral.